AUGAAAUGAGAAAAUGAUAAACGCAAGAGAUUCUGCAGAUGCUGACAGUCCAGAGAAACACACAAAAUGCUGGAGAAACUCAGCAGGUCAGUCAGCGUCAAUGGAAGAGAAUAAAUAGUUGAUGUUUCAGGCUGAUAUGAAGAUUCCUCCAGUACUUUAUCACAGCUCUGCAUCCUAUCCAUGGGCCACUGUGACCAGCGACAACCUUCUAGACUAUCCAUAACACAGCCAACCAUCGUGUCAUCUGCAAACUUACCAAUCUGCCAUUCCACUUCCUCAUUCACUGCAAGUCAUUUAUGGAAGGCGUUUCUUCUUUAUGUUACUGCAUCAAAUCAUUACACAUUGUGUUGUGGAGGACAAGUUAAAAGAACAGCAAAGCAGAAUAAAGUGUAAAAGCUACAGAGAAAGUGCAGAGCAGUUUAUGAGGUUGAAGAGGUCACCAGUAAAGGCCAAAUGGAAAUUCCAAAAAGGAGACUGGCAGUUCCAUGAGGAAGUGUUGGCAUUCACCUUAUUUUCUGAGAGAUUUUUCAGGCUGAAUGUAAGGUGGCAAUGCAUCAGCAUAUGUGAGAGAGGCUGAAAAUCUGGCUGAGUGGUGUCAUAACUAAAACCUCUUACUCAAUGUCAGCAAGACCAAGGAAUUGAUUCUUUACUUCAAAAGGAGGAGACCAGAGGUCUAUGAAACAGUCCUCAUCUGAGAAUCAACGGUGGAGAGGGACAGCAACUUGAAAUUCCUCAGUGUUAUCAUUUCAGAGAACCAGUCCUGGGCCUAGAACAUGGAGCACUGUUGCAGGAAAGUAGUAUCCAUCUGCCAGGCCUUGCUCUUUCUUCUCACUGCUGCCUUCACGAUAAAAGUACAGGAGCCUUGGUAUUCACACCAGCAGAAUUCAUUACCUGUACCUGUAUGUACUACAUGAAUGGCAUACAUCAUCAUGCCACCAUGUCAUAUCUCUCUACAACCAUGAGGAACUGGAGGCAGAGGAAUAAAUGUUAAGCGUGAUGAACUGGGAACCAGCCAAGUGGACAGCUUUAUCCUGCAAGCAUCUGUCAAGGAAGAGACAGAAUUGAAGUUACAAGUCAAGAACUGCCAUCGAUAAGUGGUGACUGGACCUCAGGAGAUGGAGCCUGAUACCCUGACCCAGACCUUCAUGACGACCUUCUGAUGUCAGGAACUCACCACCAGAGGAGGAUCAGAUAUGUGCAGGAAAAGGUCCAGUAGAAGCACUAAAUUUGGAGCCAAAGGAGGAACAAGGUCCAAUAGAAGACAUCAAAAUGAAGGACAUCAAUGCCCGGGGAGAACUGUUAGCUAUCAGGACGUUGUUUCAUCCUUCAGCAGUUCGGUUUUAUCUUAUGAAUGCAUGGAUGAAGGCUCACAGGAUCAACAGCACAUGCUGUAGUUGUUGGAAGCACCAGCUGAGAGACAGCGAGCUUGCACUGAUGAACGCCCACUGAAAACAGCCAUUGUAACAGCAGUCACCAACCCAGGAGACAUGGCAGAUGGCAAAUAAAGAAAGGGAACACUGGAGGGAACUCAUUGCUUCAUGCAGUGGAGAUGAGACUGUUUAGUUAACUAACCAACUUGGGAAUACUGAUCCACAGAUAGGAAUGACAACCCACAAACAAAUCAAGGAUUUAAAAGCUCUGCAAAUAUCUUGGAUGCAGCAUAGAGUCCGGCUAUCAAUGCUGAUCUCCGUACCCUAGUCAUUUCCUUGGCAGAUGUGCCGAAAAUCUUAUAACAUUAUCCCCUGUGUAUAACACUUAAGUGUAACAGCAUGAAAAAAUAUUUUCAGUGUCAAGUCACCUGUUGCUAUGGUCACAGCAGUCCGUCAUUAUCUGUCCACAACUGUUGGAAGUGACGAGCAGCAAGUGUCUGAAAUGUUGCUUUUUGAAGGAACAAUCAUAAGCAAGGGUUAUAGAAAACAAGAAGCUUUGUGAUAUAAUACUGUGAGAGUGAUAAUUAUCAACAUAUUUCUAGUCUUUUUUAAUGCCUUUCUCCAAAAGAAAAUACAGGCAUUUGAAGCCUACAUUAGACUAUAUCCUUGCAUAACUGAAGUACUCUUAUUUCCAUCAAUGUCUUCCAAGCUGAUUAAAGAACUACCUCAAGAUUCUCAAGCUCCAGGUCAUUGUGUUUUUCAGAAUUGUCUCAAGAACUCCCUGGACCAUCCAGUGCUGGCCAUAGAGGGGGAGGUACUGCCAUGAGCCCUGCAGCUUGCCGUAGAGUAUUGAGAUUCUGGGAUUUUUGAGCACCUGUAUUGACUAAUCAGUGACUUAACUUAAUUAGAGUUGUUAAGUCCAUGUGUUUUCAGUUUAAUCUUGUCAAGUUGAUGUGUUUAUUGAUUAUUUAAAGAAGAUGCUCAGUUGCUGCCUCGGUGGAGUCAUUGUAUUGGAAAGGAUGAAUUCUCAUGGUGUAGCUCAGUCACUCCUCUGAGGCUUUGAUUCCGACGUUUAACCUCUUGUUUCCACCUCCUCCUGGGGAUCCUGCUGUUCCUCCACAUCUGGGCCCAGACCUUCAGGAACACACCAUGACACUUCCUCAAUGUCAACAAGACAAAGGAGAAGGCUAUUGACUCCAAGAUUACUCACACCACUCACACCCCUCUUUAUAUCAGUGGCAUAGCCGUGGAAACUGUGAGCAGUUUCAAACUCCUUGGAGUGCUUAUCAUGGUCCCAGAAAACAUUCUACACAAUCAGGAAUCUCACCAUUGCCUCUACUUUCUGAGGAGGCUGAAGAGAGCUGAUCUAUACACAUCUAUAUUAUUUCAAUCUACAGAUGCGCAAUAGAGAGCAUCCUAACAAACUUCAUCACUGUAUUGGACAGAAACUGCAUUGUGGUGGAAUUGAAGGCUCUGCGAUAGGUAGAUGUAGCUGCCCAGCUCAUCAUUGGUACCAGCCAACCUACCAUCCAGGACAUGUAUACAGAAAAGUAUUGAAAAAGGGCCAGUAACAUCAUGAAGGUUCCCAUCCACCCUGCUCUUAGAUUGUUUGUCUCACUCUCGCCAGAACCACCAGAUUCAAAAAGCAGUUACUUUCCAUAAGCGUCAGGCUGAUCAAUACCCCUCACACCCAAUUCACCACUACUUCAUCAUUUCCUGUAAGUCACCUUAUGUACAGAUCUAUACACCUAUGCAUGGCAUCACUUUAUGGACUUACAAUCUAUGUUUGUGUAUAAGUUAUCUUACGUUUUUAUAAUUAUUGUGUUUUUUUAAAUAUUAUUGGUAUGUUCCUUUUUUAUUGUGUAUUUUUUGGGGCUAUAUUGGAUCCAGAGUAAUAAUUAUUUUAUUCGUCCCUACACUUAUGUAAUGGAAAUGACAUGAAACAAUCCUGAAUCGUGAAACAGGAAAUUACAAUCUGAGAUGAACGCAAUGAAUCUAAGAGACUUACACAGGAAAAAUGGCCGAACUGGAGAAAUAACAUGCUUUCCAAUCCAAUCUGGUCAAUGACAGCUCACUGAUGUAGGGGUUGGGCUCAGUGUAGUUGGCAAGGCAAAAACAAAUCAACCAUAGUGCAUGGUAAGCUCAACCAUGCUGGUGAGAGUCUGUACACUGGAAUGAAAGUCAACAUGAACAAGAUUGUAACAUCUGAACAGAAACCAGUCUGGCAAAACAAAUUGUGUUACUGUUGUGGCAGGGACUCACAUAUGCCAGACUAAUGUGAAUCUUGUAUAAAAUGCAACAAAGUAGGACACAUACAAAGAGCAUGUUGGCAGACAAAAAAAAGUAAUGGAUAGGAAAGAGGAAAAGAAAAAAGUCAAGUUGCAGUUUCGAAAUGAGCACUAAUCUUCAUGCUGUUGAUGAAAUAUCUGAUAAUGAUGAGAGUGACACCUGAGCAGCCUUAGGAUUUACUAUGUGAAAACUAAUAAUAGACAAUCAAUGUGAGUUACACCAGAAAUGUCCGACAAAUUAAUUAAAAUGGCAUUAGGCACCAGCUUGGCAGUUUCAGUCAUUCCAGAAAAUAAGUUUGAAAAGCAUUUCAAAGAUACUGAACUGAAGCCUGUAGAUAUCCAGCUAAAAACCUACAGUCGAGAAAAGAUAAGUCCUGUGGGAAUGACAUUCAUAAUGGGGAAAUACAACAACCAAUAAGCCAAGUUGAGCUUGUAUGUGAUUAAAAAAAAACAGGAGGGCCAUCAUUCUGGAGUUGUGAGUGGCUGAGACAACUACAUCUUGUUUGAAGAUCCAUCCAUCAUUUGCAUUUCACAUCCCCUGUAAUAGUCAGCUGAAAGUGAAUUAAGAAAGGUACCGUAUGAUCUCAAAACUGUCUCCAUGCUGUAUAUCAUAAGUUGCGGCCCAACAGAGGGUAAACAGGUCUUGGUCCCAAUCUCUGCCUCUGGUUGGAAAGCAUAUUGGAUCAAGAAAGUACCAUGCUGCUCAGAGAAAUCAUGGAAGUGAUGAAAGCAGUCAUCUGACUACUACAGCUUUUGUAGGCAACAGAUCUGAGGAAGCUUCUGUUAUGUUAGUCAGGCAGUUACCUGCUAAAUGUGGCUUGCUUUUACUCUAGGAGGGAGUUCAACAUGCUUUAGAAAAUUUACAAGCAUUUGCUUUUGUGAGUAUAAAGAACCAGAUAUCAACUCUGUGUGCAGUAAGGGUUAUUGCAUGAACUUCAAGUGGGAGACAAAAAGCUAUUUGUAAAAGUAGAUGCAAAGACCAAAGCUGGAUAAAUGGAUGGCCAAACAGAAUGAACUCAAUGGAGAUAAUCAGAUGAUGUUGUGGAUGAGUAAACCAAGAGAAGAGAUCAGAUCGUAAACGGAGCAAUAGAAGGAUUAAUUAGAAAAUACUCCAGUGAAAUAAAUGCACCUUCCCAGGAACAAGACACAAAUCCUAAAAAGAAGAGAAAGGAAAAGAAAGAGGAUCAAGAGAGAGAAAGAAGCUGGGACUGGGAGAGAACCAAGGAUUGAAGUGGAUCCAGAGAGAAAAACUGAGAAAAUGAGAAGGAAGUUGUCCAGAGCUGUCAGAACCACUUCCUGCAGUCCCAGAGGCAACUCCUACAACUGCUAUGGAAAAGGCCCGAGAACUUGAGAUGGUUUUCACAGCCCCAAGUCUCAUUUGCCAAGCAGAGUGAUCGCCCUUAUCAGGAAAGAUGUUAUCCCACAAGAGUAAGGAAGCUUCCACAGUGAUUAAAUAUUUAAGUCUGAAUGGGACAACUUAUAAUUUGCUAUGCUAUGGAUGUCUAUAUGGUACAGUCGAUCUUCACUAAUCCGACUAACUGUAAUCUGGUUCCUUCGAUAAUCCGGCAUUGAUCUCAAAUUUUCCACACAACUGUAAUUUCAAAUUUCCUGGGCCACCGUACCAAUCUACUGCACAUUGUUUUGGUUGCGCUAGAUCUGUUCACAUGCUGGUAUGCUCUUGUAAGCACAGACAGGCGAUUCCUGCUUGUUCUCCUGCAUUUAUUAAUAUCAUUUGCAUGCGGUGCACCGCCUGGCACCCACCCGUCUCACCCACUAGUGAUGGGUGUGCUGGCACACGCUGGGUCGGUCUGCCUUCUCGCCCGCCUACCGGCAGUCGCGCACUGCACUCCGGCAUCGCCCGGCCGGCACACCGUUCUCUUCUGCCUACGACCUCAGAUCAGACGUGGUGACCCGCUGAACUUAAGCAUAUCACUAAACAGAGGAAAAGAAACUAACGAGGAUUCCCUCAGGAACUGCAAGUGAAGAGGGAAGAGCCCAGCGACGAAUCCCCAGCCACCUGGCGGUCACGCCAAAUGUGGUGUAUAGAAUACCUCCUUUCUCAGACUUCUGUUUCUGCUCAUCCAGAUGUGCUCCCACCAACAUCAACAGUUUUUGGAGAAACUGUUGUGCCAGUUUCAGCACCAGUUCCUGAUGCUUCACUCAUUUUUCAAGAUGAAGAUCUUGAUGAUCAUGACAACCCCACACUUGCAAACAUGUAGCUUUGCCUGAAGGUAUAUUAAACGUCUCACUUUAGAAGCAGAAGUGCUCAACUGUUCUGUAUAAGUUAAUUCCUGUACAUUUACCUGUACCCUUUAUUUUAUCUGUGCCUAUACAGUAUAUUACUUUAUUAAAAGUUCACUUAAUACUCAUUUAAUAUUUCUGUUUCAUUAUUAUCUAACUUGUAACGAUGUACAUGAUAUUUUAAAGGUAUGAUGAGGCAGUUACCUAUUGUUUAAUGGGAUCCUUUUGUAAUUUGGCAUUUUCACUAAUCUGGCACUUCGCAGGCCCUGGUGGUAGUUGUAUUAUAUGGUACAUUAGGUAUAUAAGUUGAAAUGCAUUUUAUAUUGAAUUGGAAUUUAUAGCUAAGCAGGGAGGUGUAUUGUGUAUUUAGCAUUUCAGUUGUAUUUCAGUAACAUUGUAAAUAUAUUGUUUGAUUAAGCUUUCUUUGUUGUUACAUAAUGCAUUGCAGGUUAUAUGUAAAUGUAUCUAUAUGGCAUACAGUGCGUCAUCACACUGCCACAUGAUUAUAUUGCACCUCACUAAAAAUUAAAAAUGAAUUUAGAAGUCCUGGCCCUCUUGUUUUCCUUUCAAUUAGUUUUUUUUUAUGCUUUGGAGUAACAAAGUAUAAUUGUACAUAACUUCAGGUCUUUCUAACUUCCCAGUCCUAUUUUCCUUCUCAAAAUGAAUUACAACAAUCCUUGACUUACUGAUUGCAUUUCUUGAAAAUGUUUUACUGAGCAAAAUUGAAAGCCUAUGCAAAUUGGAUCACAGACAUUUUCAUGCAUAUACUUCUAUACAGGGAGAAUGGGGUCCUACUCAUUAUAGCAAAAAUUAGAUUUGUUAUUGAAGACAUGUACAUUAAAGAGCUAAUAGUGUUAUAGCAAAAAUUUAUUAGUAGAAUAUUUAUAAAUCAAGGGAUGCUUAGACUUUAAGCUCAUUUAUAUUAAAAUACAUGGGCUGUGUGUUUGUAUAUGUUGCUAUCUUGUGUACUUUAUCCCAAAUUCUUUAUAAUACGCAAUUAUUCUUAUUUACUGCAUAUUCAAUAUUAAGUUGGAUUGACUCUGAGUUGAAAAUGUGAUAGGAAAACUGUUACUUGAAACAAAUAUUGAAGGUAUGUUUAAUGCCAAAUGAUGUAUUCAAGUGAAUUCAGUCUUGAGGCCAGUGUAAUCACUAAGGGAAUGUAGAGGCUGCAAUAGCCCCCAGCCUCUCUGCCCUAUCAUUUGAAGCUCUUUAUAGCCUUUGAUACAGAAUUGCAGGGAUGUUUCCAAACUACUGCAGAUUUCCUUCUGGCAAAACCUUGAACAAUGGU
Hypanus sabinus (Atlantic stingray) is the source of this 7187-nucleotide long non-coding RNA. RefSeq lists it as uncharacterized. The record is from RefSeq and is a predicted model, not a curated record. Lineage: Eukaryota; Metazoa; Chordata; Chondrichthyes; Myliobatiformes; Dasyatidae. The transcript is spliced from 10 exons.